Molecule: ribosomal RNA, 857 nt
Filed under: uncultured bacterium
Lineage: Bacteria
Description: bacterial SSU rRNA
Rfam family: Bacterial small subunit ribosomal RNA
Source: RNAcentral
UACGGAAGGUGCGAGCGUUAAUCGGAAUUACUGGGCGUAAAGCGCGCGUAGGUGGAUUGGUCAGUCAGAUGUGAAAGCCCCGGGCUCAACCUGGGAACUGCACCUGAUACUGCCAGUCUAGAGUACGGUAGAGGGCAGUGGAAUUUCCUGUGUAGCGGUGAAAUGCGUAGAUAUAGGAAGGAACACCAGUGGCGAAGGCGACUGCCUGGACCGAUACUGACACUGAGGUGCGAAAGCGUGGGUAGCAAACAGGAUUAGAUACCCUGGUAGUCCACGCCGUAAACGAUGUCAACUAGCCGUUGGGGGACUUGAUCCUUUAGUGGCGCAGCUAACGCGAUAAGUUGACCGCCUGGGGAGUACGGCCGCAAGGUUAAAACUCAAAUGAAUUGACGGGGGCCCGCACAAGCGGUGGAGCAUGUGGUUUAAUUCGAAGCAACGCGAAGAACCUUACCUACUCUUGACAUCCAGAGAACUUGGCAGAGAUGCCUUGGUGCCUUCGGGAACUCUGAGACAGGUGCUGCAUGGCUGUCGUCAGCUCGUGUUGUGAAAUGUUGGGUUAAGUCCCGUAACGAGCGCAACCCUUGUCCUUAUUUGCCAGCACUUCGGGUGGGAACUCUAAGGAGACUGCCGGUGACAAACCGGAGGAAGGUGGGGACGACGUCAAGUCAUCAUGGCCCUUACGAGUAGGGCUACACACGUGCUACAAUGGCCGGUACAGAGGGCCGCGAACCUGCGAGGGUAAGCCGAUCUCAGAAAACCGGUCGUAGUCCGGAUCGCAGUCUGCAACUCGACUGCGUGAAGUCGGAAUCGCUAGUAAUCGCGAAUCAGAAUGUCGCGGUGAAUACGUUCCCGGGCCU